AGAGUUUGAUCCUGGCUCAGGAUAAACGCUGGCGGCGUGCCUAACACAUGCAAGUCGAACGUCCUUUCGCGCAAGCGAGAGGGAGUGGCGGACGGGUGAGUACCACGUGGGUACCUACCCCAAGAUGAGGAAUACCUCCGAGAAAUCGGGGACAACACCGCAUACGCUUCUUCACGGAAGCAAAGCUCGCAAGGGCGUCUUGGGAUGGGCCUGCGCCUGAUUAGCCGGUUGGUGGGGUAAGAGCCUACCAAGGCGACGAUCAGUAGCUGGUCUGAGAGGAUGAUCAGCCACACUGGGAUUGAGAACGGCCCAGACUCCUACGGGGGGCAGCAGUGAGGAAUUUUCGUCAAUGGAGGCAACUCUGAACGAGCAACGCCGCGUGCAGGAUGACCCUUUUCGGAGUGUAAACUGCUUUUCUCGGGGAAGAGACCGGACGGUACCCGAGGAACAAGCCCCGGCUAACUACGUGCCAGCAGCCGCGGUAAUACGUAGGGGGCGAGCGUUGUCCGGAGUUACUGGGCGUAAAGGGCCCGCAGGCGGUGUGCCAAGUUCGCACUGACAAUCCUCGGCUUAACCGAGGAGGGCGUGCGAAAACUGGCAGACUUGAGGAAGAGAGAGGGACAGGGAAUUCCGGGUGGAGUGGUGAAAUGCGUAGAUAUCCGGAGGAACCCCAAAGGCGAAGGCACUGUCCUGGCUCUUUCCUAACGCUCAGGGGCGAAAGCUAGGGGAGCGAACGGGAUUAGAUACCCCGGUAGUCC
This 758-nucleotide ribosomal RNA is filed under the name uncultured bacterium. RNAcentral describes it as "bacterial SSU rRNA". It matches the Rfam family "Bacterial small subunit ribosomal RNA", at positions 8 to 796 of the family's 1533-position model. The record is from RNAcentral.